RNAcentral lists this ribosomal RNA (496 nucleotides) under uncultured bacterium. Its description in RNAcentral is "partial 16S ribosomal RNA". It matches the Rfam family "Bacterial small subunit ribosomal RNA", at positions 28 to 506 of the family's 1533-position model. The record is from RNAcentral.
GAUGAACGCUGGCGGCGUGCCUAAUACAUGCAAGUCGAGCGAACGGACGAGAAGCUUGCUUCUCUGAUGUUAGCGGCGGACGGGUGAGUGACACGUGGAUAACCUACCUAUAAGACUGGGAUAACUUCGGGAAACCGGAGCUAAUACCGGAUAAUAUUUUGAACCGCAUGGUUCAAAAGUGAAAGACGGUCUUGCUGUCACUUAUAGAUGGAUCCGCGCUGCAUUAGCUAGUUGGUAAGGUAACGGCUUACCAAGGCAACGAUGCAUAGCCGACCUGAGAGGGUGAUCGGCCACACUGGAACUGAGACACGGUCCAGACUCCUACGGGAGGCAGCAGUAGGGAAUCUUCCGCAAUGGGCGAAAGCCUGACGGAGCAACGCCGCGUGAGUGAUGAAGGUCUUCGGAUCGUAAAACUCUGUUAUUAGGGAAGAACAUAUGUGUAAGUAACUGUGCACAUCUUGACGGUACCUAAUCAGAAAGCCACGGCUAACUACGU